CGGCGCCGAGGUCCCGGGGCCUGUGGUGACUUUCGCGCUCCCUUGGGGCCCCCACGAGCCCCUUGCGCCCCCCGCGCUGGAAUGCACCUGUGCCGCCCUGCGCGGCCUCCUGCACGGACCACCCGCCUACGGGGCGCCGGGCUCCGGAAGUGCAGGGGACCCGGGGCAGAGGCGCCAGAUGCCUCUCCCCCAUGCCACCCUGGGUUCCCUUGCAAGGCAGCAUGCAUUCCCAGGAGGGGUAUGCUGACCC
This 250-nucleotide small RNA is filed under the name Pongo abelii (Sumatran orangutan). RNAcentral describes it as "sense intronic". Lineage: Eukaryota; Metazoa; Chordata; Mammalia; Primates; Hominidae. The record is from RNAcentral.